Molecule: ribosomal RNA, 253 nt
Filed under: uncultured bacterium
Lineage: Bacteria
Description: partial 16S ribosomal RNA
Rfam family: Bacterial small subunit ribosomal RNA
Source: RNAcentral
UACAGAGGGGGCAAGCGUUGUUCGGAAUUACUGGGCGUAAAGGGCGCGUAGGUGGUGACCUAAGCGUGCGGUGAAAGCCCGAGGCUCAACCUCGGGUCGGCCGUGCGAACUGGGUCACUGGAGCAGAAUAGAGGCAGGUGGAAUUCCGGGUGUAGCGGUGGAAUGCGUAGAGAUCCGGAAGAACACCGGUGGCGAAGGCGGCCUGCUGGGUUCUGGCUGACACUGAGGCGCGACAGCGUGGGGAGCAAACAGG